UUGUUGCAGUUAAAAAGCUCGUAGUUGGACUUUAGGCAAGGCGGCCUGGUCACCCUCUGGGUGUACUGGGAUCGCUGCGCCUCACCUUCGGGGAGCUAGUCGUGCUUCGGUGCGCUAGGGAACCGAGCCUUACCUUGAGGAAAUUAGAGUGUUUAAAGCAGGCUUAUGCUUGAAUACGUUAGCAUGGAAUAACAUGAUAGGACUUUGGUUCUAUUUUGUUGGUUUGAGGACCAAAGUAAUGAUUAAUAGGGACAGUUGGGGGCAUUAGUAUUCAAUAGUCAGAGGUGAAAUUCUUGGAUUUAUUGAAGACUAACUAAUGCGAAAGCAUUUGCCAAGGAUGUUUUCAUUAAUCAAGAACGAAAGUUAGGGGAUCGAAGACGAUUAGAUACCGUCGUUGUCUUAACCAUAAACUAUGCCGACUAGGGAUCGGUGGAAGUCGAUUUUGACUCCAUCGGCACCUUACGAGAAAUCAAAGUUUUUGGGUUCUGGGGGGAGUAUGGUCGCAAGGCUGAAACUUAAAGGAAUUGACGGAAGGGCACCACCAGGAGUGGAGCCUGCGGCUUAAUUUGACUCAACACGGGAAAACUCACCAGGUCCGGACAUGGGAAGGAUUGACAGAUUGAGAGCUCU
This 630-nucleotide ribosomal RNA is filed under the name uncultured eukaryote. RNAcentral describes it as "SSU rRNA". It matches the Rfam family "Eukaryotic small subunit ribosomal RNA", at positions 610 to 1258 of the family's 1831-position model. The record is from RNAcentral.